CAGAGAGCCCUCUACAGGGAUGUGAUGCAGGAGAAUUACGAGGCUGUGAGCUGGCUGGGAUUUCCAGCUUCCAAACCUCAUGUGAUUUCCUGGGUGGAGCGAGGGGAAGAGCUGUGGAUCCCAGAUCUCCAGGGCUGUGAGGAAGGGGAGAUCAUCAGUGAUGCCCACACAGCAGUUGAUGGGAUGCUGAGUGAGAUCCGUGAGGA
Non-coding RNA from Pelodiscus sinensis (Chinese soft-shelled turtle), 206 nucleotides. The record is from RefSeq and is a predicted model, not a curated record. Lineage: Eukaryota; Metazoa; Chordata; Testudines; Trionychidae.